This 867-nucleotide ribosomal RNA is filed under the name uncultured Lactobacillus sp. RNAcentral describes it as "bacterial SSU rRNA". It matches the Rfam family "Bacterial small subunit ribosomal RNA", at positions 80 to 928 of the family's 1533-position model. Lineage: Bacteria; Bacillati; Bacillota; Bacilli; Lactobacillales; Lactobacillaceae. The record is from RNAcentral.
CAAUUACCGAUCAAACCGAGUGGCGGACGGGUGAGUAACACGUGGGUAACCUGCCCUUCAGCAGGGGAUAACAUUUGGAAACAGAUGCUAAUACCGUAUAACCACGGAGACCGCAUGGUCUCCGGGUAAAAGAUGGCGCAAGCUAUCACUGAAGGAUGGACCCGCGGCGUAUUAGCCAGUUGGUGGGGUAACGGCCUACCAAAGCGAUGAUACGUAGCCGACCUGAGAGGGUAAUCGGCCACAUUGGGACUGAGACACGGCCCAAACUCCUACGGGAGGCAGCAGUAGGGAAUCUUCCACAAUGGACGCAAGUCUGAUGGAGCAACGCCGCGUGAGUGAAGAAGGCUUUCGGGUCGUAAAACUCUGUUAUUGAAGAAGAACGUGUGUGACAGUAACUGGUCAUGCAGUGACGGUAUUCAAUCAGAAAGUCACGGCUAACUACGUGCCAGCAGCCGCGGUAAUACGUAGGUGGCAAGCGUUGUCCGGAUUUAUUGGGCGUAAAGCGAGUGCAGGCGGUCUUUUAAGUCUGAUGUGAAAGCCUUCGGCUUAACCGAAGAAGGGCAUCGGAAACUGGGAGACUUGAGUGCAGAAGAGGAGAGUGGAACUCCAUGUGUAGCGGUGAAAUGCGUAGAUAUAUGGAAGAACACCAGUGGCGAAGGCGGCUCUCUGGUCUGUAACUGACGCUGAGGCUCGAAAGCGUGGGUAGCAAACAGGAUUAGAUACCCUGGUAGUCCACGCCGUAAACGAUGAAUACUAAGUGUUGGANGGUUUCCGCCUUCAGUGCUGCAGCUAACGCAUUAGUAUUCCGCUGGGGAGUAACGAACGCCAGGUUGAAACUCAAAGGAACUUGAACGGGGGCCGCAACAA